CUACGGAGGAUGCGAGCGUUAUCCGGAUUUAUUAGGUUUAAAGGGUGUGUCGGCGGUAUUUUAAGUCAGUGGUGAAAUCUCGGAGCUUAACUUCGAAACUGCCAUUGAUACUGGAAUACUUGAGUAUAGUUGAGGUAGGCGGAAUAUGUAAUGUAGCGGUGAAACGCAUAGAUAUUACAUAGAACACCGAUUGCGAAGGCAGCUUACUAAACUAUUACUGACGCUGAUGCACGAAAGCGUGGGGAGCGAACAGGAUUAGAAACCCUAGUAGUCC
This 274-nucleotide ribosomal RNA is filed under the name uncultured bacterium. RNAcentral's name for it is "partial 16S ribosomal RNA". It matches the Rfam family "Bacterial small subunit ribosomal RNA", at positions 523 to 796 of the family's 1533-position model. The record is from RNAcentral.